This is a non-coding RNA of Heliocybe sulcata, 140 nucleotides long. Lineage: Eukaryota; Fungi; Basidiomycota; Agaricomycetes; Gloeophyllales; Gloeophyllaceae. The record is from the annotation of a GenBank genome assembly.
CGCCCUGUGGUGUAGUGGUUAGCAGCCCUAGGGUAACACACACACACUAUACACAUGCAUACACGCAUUACACACAUUACACUAGGGCCCCACCUCACAGCUUCACCACAAGGUCGGCGGUUCGAUUCCGGCCGGGGCAG